CUCAAUUAACCCAGGUACAUGCAUCCCCGCAGCCCAGAUUUCGCCAGCAAGCUCCUUGAGCAGCAACCCAACUAACCCGCGUGUGAAUUCAGUGAGUGCAGGCUUCUCCAUUGAGAUCCCUUUGCACAUGAAGCACCGCCCACCAAAGUUGGAGCUGCCAUCGACAUGGUGCCCGCCGAUGAGUGCAUCCACCUCCAUCAGCUGCGGAAUCUCCUGGGAGUACACCCGCAUGCUCCUGCCCCUCUUGUUCUCCAUAGGACGCUGGCGGCGACACCGCGAGCCUCUACCCCCGCUGAAGUGGAUUCAAACCUGACAGUGGAGGCCCACUGUGAGGAUUCUAAUUUUAUUUGACCGUUUUUCUAAAAUGUAUUCUUCCAGAAUACGCCUUCCCCGGUGGCCCAUAUAAUUUCACUAGAGUGCUUUGCUUCUUUCCAGUCAGCCCCCUGGGAUAUUUUUGUUUCGUUA
RNAcentral lists this long non-coding RNA (465 nucleotides) under Hordeum vulgare. RNAcentral's name for it is "long non-coding RNA (HVUL_LNC003795)". The record is from RNAcentral. Lineage: Eukaryota; Viridiplantae; Streptophyta; Magnoliopsida; Poales; Poaceae.